Molecule: long non-coding RNA, 1209 nt
Filed under: Callithrix jacchus (white-tufted-ear marmoset)
Lineage: Eukaryota; Metazoa; Chordata; Mammalia; Primates; Cebidae
Description: lncRNA (ENSCJAG00000077657.1)
Source: RNAcentral
GUGGUGGCUCACGUCUGUAAUCCCAGCACUUUGGGAGGCUGAGGCAGGUGGAUCACAAGGUCAGGUGUUCAAGACCAGCCUAACCAACAUGGUAAAACUCUGCCUCUACUAAAAAUACAAAAAUUAGCCAGGCAUGUUGAUGUGCACCUGUAAUCCCAGCUACUCAGGAGGCUGAGGCAGGAGGAUUGCUUGAACCUGAGAGAUGGAGGUUGCAGUGAGCCGACAUUGCACCACUGCACUCCAGCCUGGGCAACAGAGUAAGACUCCAUCUCAAAAAAUAAAAGAAAGAAAGAGAUCGGACAAUAUAGAUAUAUCCAUUUUGGUAUAUUCAGGAAGACAGCAAAAGGGAGACAGAAUGGAUGCCUCAAAGUAGGAUUACAGAAACAUUAGUAGCUUAGUAAGUAGUGGUGAGAUUUGCAGAGUUUUAUUACCAGUUUAUAUUAUUUUUUAGGUAGGGUUCACAUUUUUCUAAAGUGAGCAUUUAUCAUUUAUAUUAAAUAAUUUAGAAGCAAAAAAAUGAAUGAGAGACAUGGAGAUAGCCUUAUAGGACAUCUGCAAAGAAAGGAAAACCAUAUAACUCUAGCUUGAAAAGAUCCUUAAAUACCAAUUAAAAUGGUAUAAAAUGUUCUGUUAACCACAGGCAAUGCCUUUGAGACCCUUGGAAUGAGGAAAAAGAACAAUGACAUCUGCACUCAGUCAUGGAGGAAACAGCUAAACAAGUCAGCAUAGGGUGGAGGUGACCAGUGGAGGGGACUCAGAGUUCUUGAGGUACCUGGAGAUCCCUGAGCACUGGGCUUCCAGACCUCUUUAUAUCAGGCUCACUCUCCUGGGAGAAAUGGCCUGCCUGAAGAGGACUAAAUGAGUUUGGCCUUUAUAGUCCAGAGAGGCACAGCAGAAAGUGUAGCGGGAGACAGAUUUUUUUGCUGUUUGCUGGCUCUCCACUCUCAAUCUCUAAAAUGCCUUUUUUUUUUUUUUUUUUUUUUAAAGAUAUAUCUUUAUUGGCUUGGGUUUUUCUAAUGACAGAAAAGAGAAGUGAGGAGACCAGAUUGGGAACUGAGGUCAGAGAAGUAUCUGUGGGUAGACCCUGCUCUGUGAGGAAACGUAGGAGAUCUACUGACUAGCCUGUCUGGCUGCUGCUCUCUGGCCACACAGGGCAUUUGGCUACCCAUGACUGCUAAUUAAGGGGCAGUACAGUGGCAGCUUCUGAGA